RNAcentral lists this ribosomal RNA (749 nucleotides) under uncultured archaeon. Its description in RNAcentral is "bacterial SSU rRNA". It matches the Rfam family "Archaeal small subunit ribosomal RNA", at positions 12 to 760 of the family's 1478-position model. The record is from RNAcentral.
UCCCGGCGGAGGCUACUGCUAUUGGGGUUCGAUUAAGCCAUGCAAGUUGAACGAUUCUUCGGGAUCGUGGCGAACGGCUCAGUAACACGUGGAUAACCUACCCUUAGGACCGGUAUAACCCUGGGAAACUGGGGACAAUCCCGGAUAGGUGAUUUUUUCUGUAAUGAUUUUUCAUUUAAAUGCUCCGGCGCCUGAGGAUGGGUCUGCGGCAGAUUAGGUAGUUGGUAGGGUAAUGGCCUACCAAGCCGGUGAUCUGUACGGGUUGUGAGAGCAAGAGCCCGGAGAUGGAACCUGAGACAAGGUUCCAGGCCCUACGGGGCGCAGCAGGCGCGAAACCUCCGCAAUGCGAGAAAUCGCGACGGGGGGACCCCCAAGUGCCACUCUUAACGGGGUGGCUUUUCUUGAGUGUAAAAAGCUUUUGGAAUAAGGGCUGGGCAAGACCGGUGCCAGCCGCCGCGGUAACACCGGCAGCUCUAGUGGUAGCCAUUUUUAUUGGGCCUAAAGCGUUCGUAGCCGGUUUGAUAAGUCUCUGGUGAAAUCCUGUAGCUUAACUGUGGGAAUUGCUGGAGAUACUAUUAGACUUGAGGUCGGGAGAGGUUAGCGGUACUCCCAGGGUAGGGGUGAAAUCCUGUAAUCCUGGGAGGACCACCUGUGGCGAAGGCGGCUAACUGGAACGAACCUGACGGUGAGGGACGAAAGCCAGGGGCGCGAACCGGAUUAGAUACCCGGGUAGUCCUGGCCGUAAACGA